UCGAGGAUCUUCGGCAAUGGGCGCAAGCCUGACCGAGCGACGCCGCGUGGACGAUGAAGGCCUUCGGGUUGUAAAGUCCUGUCGAGGGGGAUAAAGCCGCAAGGUUGAUAGAUCCCUGGAGGAAGCACGGGCUAAGUUCGUGCCAGCAGCCGCGGUAAGACGAACCGUGCGAACGUUGUUCGGAAUCACUGGGCUUAAAGGGCGCGUAGGCGGCUUGCCAAGUCAGUGGUGAAAUCCUCCGGCUUAACCGGAGAAGUGCCAUUGAUACUGGCGAGCUCGAGGGAGGUAGGGGCAGCUGGAACUUCUGGUGGAGCGGUGAAAUGCGUUGAUAUCAGAAGGAACGCCGGUGGCGAAAGCGAGCUGCUGGAUCUCUACUGACGCUGAGGCGCGAAAGCUAGGGGAGCAAACGGGAUUAGAUACCCCUGUAGUCC
Molecule: ribosomal RNA, 431 nt
Filed under: uncultured bacterium
Lineage: Bacteria
Description: bacterial SSU rRNA
Rfam family: Bacterial small subunit ribosomal RNA
Source: RNAcentral